RNAcentral lists this ribosomal RNA (339 nucleotides) under Drosophila eugracilis. RNAcentral's name for it is "eukaryotic LSU rRNA". The record is from RNAcentral. Lineage: Eukaryota; Metazoa; Arthropoda; Insecta; Diptera; Drosophilidae.
GCCCGAUGAACCUGAAUAUCCGUUAUGGAAAAUUCAUCAUUAUAAUUGUAAUAUUUAAACAAUAUUAUGAUAAUAGUGUGCAUUUUUUCCAUAUAAGGACAUUGUAAUCUAUUAGCAUACAAAAUUUAUCAUAAAAUAUAACUUAUAGUUUAUUCCAAUUAAAUUGCUUGCAUUUUAACACAGAAUAAAUGUUAUUAAUUUGAUAAAGUGCUGAUAGAUUUAUAUGAAUACAGUGCGUUAAUUUUUCGGAAUUAUAUAAUGGCAUAAUUAUCAUUGAUUUUUGUGUUUAUUAUAUGCACUUGUAUGAUUAACAAUGCGAAAGAUUCAGGAUACUUCGGG